AUAGAAGGUGGGGCUAACCCAGUGGUGUGCAGGCAUUAUGCCUUUGUUUAAUUAACACUUGUUAAGUGGAGCACAGGGUGCUGGAUAGUGAGCCGUGGUUCAACAACAGACCACAAGAGAAUUUGAAAUAGAGAAGUUUAUCAGUCACAGGUCCUGGAGGAAGUACACAGCACACCUUGAGGGGCCACAUGAGGCGGUCCAGGCAGAGUGCCCAGAGAGAGAGACAGGACCUGGGGUACAUGUUUUCAUUAGGGUCCAUGGUUGGAGUGAUUUGGGGUCCCCUGACUACAGCUGGAUUGGUCAAUCAAACCAGAAGAUUGGGAUAUUGGUUAGAGUUCAGGAGUAAGAAGAUCAUCUACCUCCUAGAAUUUUGUGAGAAUUAAAUGAGAUGACAGUUUUUAAAAGAAGAC
Molecule: long non-coding RNA, 410 nt
Organism: Balaenoptera ricei (Rice's whale)
Lineage: Eukaryota; Metazoa; Chordata; Mammalia; Artiodactyla; Balaenopteridae
Exons: 3
Source: RefSeq, a predicted model, not a curated record